Molecule: long non-coding RNA, 1709 nt
Filed under: Gossypium barbadense (sea-island cotton)
Lineage: Eukaryota; Viridiplantae; Streptophyta; Magnoliopsida; Malvales; Malvaceae
Description: long non-coding RNA (GBAR_LNC013386)
Source: RNAcentral
CGUUUUCUAGGCCCGGGCUCGGCCCAGCCCGAAAUAUGGGCAUGAGAUUUUUCCCAGGCCCGGUCCAGGAAAAAAAUAUGGGCCCAAGCCCGGCCCGGCCCAGCCCGGCCCGUUUUGCAUUGAAAUUAAAAUUGUUUUUCUAAUAAAAUUAAAACUAAUUAAAAUCUAGCACAUUUACCACUUAAUUAUUUGAUUGAAUCAUAGAUUAACAGAAAGCUAAUUGACAAAUUUCAUAUAAACUUUUAUUAUAGAUUAACAGACAGAAAUGGAAGGGAAUAUAUAUAUAUUUCAACAACACUUUUAUUAUACACUUCUAUAAACUUAGACAGAAAUAAACAGAAAAUAAGACCUUCAUAAUGGAAAAAUCUUCAUAAUUGAAUUAAACCCAAAAGUUCGAAAUAACUAUUCCUCAAGAAUUACAUGACUUAACCAACUAUUCCCCAGGAAUUACAUAAAGCACUACAAGAUGAAUCACUCAAGCACACUAUAAUAAUCCAUAAACAUAAUCUUUAAGAGCUAUGCAAAAUCUUAUAGCAUGCUAAUUAUACCUAAAAACAGAAAAUAAGACCUUCAUAAUGGAAAAAUCUUCAUAAUUGAAUUAAACCCAAAAGUUCGAAAUAACUAUUCCUCAAGAAUUACAUGACUUAACCAACUAUUCCCCAGGAAUUACAUAAAGCACUACAAGAUGAAUCACUCAAGCACACUAUAAUAAUCCAUAAACAUAAUCUUUAAGAGCUAUGCAAAAUCUUAUAGCAUGCUAAUUAUACCUAAAAACAUGUUUACAACAUAAUCAACUUCCAAGACCUAUCCACGAAUCAACAGCAACAUGAUUUUUCAUUUUGCAUUUCAGUAAACAUCAUCAAUCACUUAUUUUUCUUCUCUUUUGCCUUCGAACUUUUACCCAUUUUUUUAGCUUCAAAUUCAUCACCAAAAUAAUAAAUUAAGCAACAAUAAAAAUAAAUUUCAAAUAUAUUGAAAUGAUGCAAUUUGAUAGAAACAAACAGAGCAUUGGCACAUGUUAUCUGCAUAUGUUACCCUAUUUAAAGGAAUAAACUAAACCCAAUUCGCAAUUCAAAAGGCCAAAAAGCUAACCUCUAACGUGAAUUCAAUCUGUAAUUAAUUUCUCAAAACUUGCUUUAUCUAAUUUAACAUUCUUAUAUGUCGAUGUGGUAUAGUUCUAGAAUAGUCAACAUUGGUUAACAUUCAGCAAAAGGAUGCCCCAAAUGAAGUGUGUGUAACUUCAGUAGAAAGAAGUUGAAAGAAAACUGCAAUUAGAAAUGAAGUAAGAAUGUUAAAUUAAGUAAACAAAACACAUCAUGCCUGUAUGUUUUGUAACUAAAAUUAAGCGAAUCAUCUUGAGAGGUAAAAGAGUGGGUAAUCUGCAGAAAGUGGGAACUUAGCAUUAUCUACUCUUGAUUUCAGUCUGCAUUUCAGGUUAUUGCUGUUUUGAUGCAUAAAUUCAUUGAAAGAACAAUUGUUUUUAAUAAAGAGAAUGAAAACGAAGAAACCGAAGAAGAUGAGCAAACCCGUACCUGUAACAAACCGACCGGAGGUGGAUCGGUGGAUGUCUUGACGGUGGAGGUGGAUCGGUAUUGGAAGACUCUGUCGAUUUUGGAAAUGGAAAAAAAAUGGAGGAAGUCACAGCCGCACAGCACAAUAGAUAGGGUUAGGGAUUUUGUCUCUGUCAGUGUAAGGAAAUGAAUGUAAAU